GACGAACGCUGGCGGCGUGCUUAACACAUGCAAGUCGAACGGGAUCCGGGCUUUCGGGUUUGGUGAGAGUGGCGAACGGGUGAGUAACACGUGAGUAACCUGCCCCCUUCUUUGGGAUAACGUCGGGAAAUCGGCGCUAAUACUGGAUAUUCUUGCUGCAUCGCAUGGUGUGGUUUGGAAAGGGUUUCUGGUGGGGGAUGGGCUCGCGGCCUAUCGGCUUGUUGGUGGGGUGAUGGCCUACCAAGGCUUUGACGGGUAGCCGGCCUGAGAGGGUGUCCGGCCACACUGGGACUGAGACACGGCCCAGACUCCUACGGGAGGCAGCAGUGGGGAAUAUUGCACAAUGGGCGCAAGCCUGAUGCAGCGACGCCGCGUGAGGGAUGACGGCCUUCGGGUUGUAAACCCCUUUCAGUAUGGAACAAGGAUCCUUCUUUUGGGGGGUUUGAGGGUACGUGCAGAAGAAGCGCCGGCUAACUACGUG
RNAcentral lists this ribosomal RNA (481 nucleotides) under uncultured bacterium. RNAcentral describes it as "partial 16S ribosomal RNA". It matches the Rfam family "Bacterial small subunit ribosomal RNA", at positions 28 to 507 of the family's 1533-position model. The record is from RNAcentral.